This 66-nucleotide transfer RNA is filed under the name Heterocephalus glaber (naked mole-rat). It matches the Rfam family "tRNA", at positions 5 to 66 of the family's 71-position model. Rfam says of the family: Transfer RNA (tRNA) molecules are approximately 80 nucleotides in length. The record is from Rfam by way of RNAcentral. Lineage: Eukaryota; Metazoa; Chordata; Mammalia; Rodentia; Bathyergidae.
GUAUAGCUCAGUAGAAGAAGAGCAUGUGCUUAGCAUGCAUAAAGCCCUGGAUUCAAUCCCCAGUGC